UACGUAGGGUGCGAGCGUUAAUCGGAAUUACUGGGCGUAAAGCGUGCGCAGGCCGCCCGCUAAGACAGGUGUGAAAUCCCCGGGCUUAACCUGGGAAUGGCGCUUGUGACUGACGGGCUCGAGUGUGGCAGAGGGAGGUGGAAUUCCACGUGUAGCAGUGAAAUGCGUAGAGAUGUGGAGGAACACCGAUGGCGAAGGCAGCCUCCUGGGCCAACACUGACGCUCAUGCACGAAAGCGUGGGGAGCAAACAGG
Molecule: ribosomal RNA, 253 nt
Filed under: uncultured bacterium
Lineage: Bacteria
Description: partial 16S ribosomal RNA
Rfam family: Bacterial small subunit ribosomal RNA
Source: RNAcentral